GACGAACGCUGGCGGCGUGCUUAACACAUGCAAGUCGAACGAGGUCCAUGGUGCUUGCACCGGAAGACCUAGUGGCGAACGGGUGAGGAACACGUGAGAAACCUGCCCUGGACUCUGGGAUAACAGUUGGAAACGACUGCUAAUACCGGAUGCCGUCACCGAGUGGCAUCACUUGGUGACGAAAGAAUUUCGGUCCAGGAGGGUCUCGCGGCCUAUCAGCUAGUUGGUGGGGUAACGGCCUACCAAGGCAUCGACGGGUAGCUGGUCUGAGAGGAUGAUCAGCCACACUGGGACUGAGACACGGCCCAGACUCCUACGGGAGGCAGCAGUGGGGAAUCUUGUGCAAUGGGCGAAAGCCUGACACAGCAACGCCGCGUGCGGGAAGAAGGCCUUCGGGUCGUAAACCGCUUUCAGCAGGAACGAAAAUGACGGUACCUGCAGAAGAAGGUGCGGCCAACUACGUGCCAGCCGCCGCCGUAA
This 480-nucleotide ribosomal RNA is filed under the name uncultured bacterium. RNAcentral's name for it is "partial 16S ribosomal RNA". It matches the Rfam family "Bacterial small subunit ribosomal RNA", at positions 28 to 523 of the family's 1533-position model. The record is from RNAcentral.